Molecule: ribosomal RNA, 781 nt
Filed under: uncultured Acidobacteriota bacterium
Lineage: Bacteria; Pseudomonadati; Acidobacteriota
Description: bacterial SSU rRNA
Rfam family: Bacterial small subunit ribosomal RNA
Source: RNAcentral
UGGCGGCGUGCUAACACAUGCAAGUCGAACGAGAAGUGGAGCAUCCAUGAGUCAGUGGCGACCGGGUGAGUAACACGUGACUACCUGCCCUUGAGUGGGGGAUACCUCGGGAAACCGGGGCUAAUACCGCAUAACAUCGAUCAAAGGAGCAAUCCGCUGAAGGAGGGGGUCGCGGCUGAUUAGCUAGUUGGUGAGGUAACGGCUCACCAAGGCGAAGAUCAGUAGCCGGCCUGAGAGGGCGCACGGCCACACUGGAACUGAAACACGGUCCAGACUCCUACGGGAGGCAGCAGUGGGGAAUUUUGCGCAAUGGGGGAAACCCUGACGCAGCAACGCCGCGUGGAGGAUGAAGUCCCUUGGGAUGUAAACUCCUUUCGAUCGGGACGAUUAUGACGGUACCGGAAGAAGAAGCACCGGCUAACUCUGUGCCAGCAGCCACGGUAAUACAGAGGGUGCAAGCGUUGUUCGGAAUUAUUGGGCGUAAAGGGCGCGUAGGCGGUGCGGUAAGACUGUGGUGAAAUCUCCGGGCUCAACUCGGAAAUUGCCGCGGUGACUGCCGUGCUCUAGUGUGGGAGAGGUGAGUGGAAUUCCCGGUGUAGCGGUGAAAUGCGUAGAUGUCGGGAGGAACACCUGUGGCGAAAGCGGCUCACUGGACCACAACUGACGCUGAGGCGCGAAAGCUAGGGGAGCAAACAGGAUUAGAUACCCUGGUAGUCCUAGCCUAACGAUGAUUGCUUGGUGUGUCGGGUACCCAAUCCCGACGUGCCGCAGCUAACGCGAU